Non-coding RNA from Sphaeroforma arctica JP610, 72 nucleotides. The record is from Rfam. NCBI's taxonomy places the organism in Eukaryota, Ichthyosporea, Ichthyophonida.
UCCUCUGUGGCAAAGUGGUAUCGCGUCACACUCGUAAUGUGAAGGUCCAUGGUUCAAUCCCAUGCGGAGGCA